UCAGGAAAGGGGCCCCACACGACAGGAAGGGGACCCCUCACAACCAGCAGGGGAGCCAGAAGUUGAGAUCAUCACUGAGUCCCUGUCAUAUGAGACUCUUUGUAACCUGUGAAAAGACAUUGUACUAUGGGGCCGUGAGCCUUUUACAACCUGGUUACUGCAGGUCUGGGACCUUAUGGGUACAGGUGUGCAACUGGAUGGUACUGAGGCAAGGAAUUUGGGAGCCUUGACCCAGGACUCAGGUGUGGACCAGGUAUUUGUAAGGGAGACAGGUCUCCUUUCCCUCUGGGAGCGACUUUUAAUGAGUGUGAGAGAGAGAUUUGUCCACAGGGAAAGAAUGCAGGAGCACCACCAGAGAACGUGUUGGA
Molecule: non-coding RNA, 368 nt
Organism: Sturnus vulgaris (Common starling)
Lineage: Eukaryota; Metazoa; Chordata; Aves; Passeriformes; Sturnidae
Source: RefSeq, a predicted model, not a curated record